Molecule: ribosomal RNA, 880 nt
Filed under: Microbacterium paraoxydans
Lineage: Bacteria; Bacillati; Actinomycetota; Actinomycetes; Micrococcales; Microbacteriaceae
Description: bacterial SSU rRNA
Rfam family: Bacterial small subunit ribosomal RNA
Source: RNAcentral
CCAUGCAGUCGAACGGUGAACACGGAGCUUGCUCUGUGGGAUCAGUGGCGAACGGGUGAGUAACACGUGAGCAACCUGCCCCUGACUCUGGGAUAAGCGCUGGAAACGGCGUCUAAUACUGGAUAUGUGACGUGACCGCAUGGUCUGCGUUUGGAAAGAUUUUUCGGUUGGGGAUGGGCUCGCGGCCUAUCAGCUUGUUGGUGAGGUAAUGGCUCACCAAGGCGUCGACGGGUAGCCGGCCUGAGAGGGUGACCGGCCACACUGGGACUGAGACACGGCCCAGACUCCUACGGGAGGCAGCAGUGGGGAAUAUUGCACAAUGGGCGAAAGCCUGAUGCAGCAACGCCGCGUGAGGGAUGACGGCCUUCGGGUUGUAAACCUCUUUUAGCAGGGAAGAAGCGAAAGUGACGGUACCUGCAGAAAAAGCGCCGGCUAACUACGUGCCAGCAGCCGCGGUAAUACGUAGGGCGCAAGCGUUAUCCGGAAUUAUUGGGCGUAAAGAGCUCGUAGGCGGUUUGUCGCGUCUGCUGUGAAAUCCCGAGGCUCAACCUCGGGCCUGCAGUGGGUACGGGCAGACUAGAGUGCGGUAGGGGAGAUUGGAAUUCCUGGUGUAGCGGUGGAAUGCGCAGAUAUCAGGAGGAACACCGAUGGCGAAGGCAGAUCUCUGGGCCGUAACUGACGCUGAGGAGCGAAAGGGUGGGGAGCAAACAGGCUUAGAUACCCUGGUAGUCCACCCCGUAAACGUUGGGAACUAGUUGUGGGGUCCAUUCCACGGAUUCCGUGACGCAGCUAACGCAUUAAGUUCCCCGCCUGGGGAGUACGGCCGCAAGGCUAAAACUCAAAGGAAUUGACGGGGACCCGCACAAGCGGCGGAGCAUGC